Long non-coding RNA from Temnothorax curvispinosus, 103 nucleotides. RefSeq lists it as uncharacterized. NCBI's taxonomy places the organism in Eukaryota, Metazoa, Arthropoda, Insecta, Hymenoptera, Formicidae. The transcript has 2 exons. The record is from RefSeq and is a predicted model, not a curated record.
UCAAAACAUGAUUGUCAUUUGAGGCUUAGCUACAGUUAUUCUUCAUUAGAAGAAAUGGACAAAGGACUGUCUGUAGUAGCCAAAAUAAUACGUGAAGAAGCAG